Molecule: ribosomal RNA, 253 nt
Filed under: uncultured bacterium
Lineage: Bacteria
Description: partial 16S ribosomal RNA
Rfam family: Bacterial small subunit ribosomal RNA
Source: RNAcentral
UACGGAGGGGGCUAGCGUUGUUCGGAAUUAUUGGGCGUAAAGCGCGUGUAGGCGGCUUUGCAAGUCGGGUGUGAAAGCCCUCAGCUUAACUGAGGAAGUGCGCCCGAAACUGCAUUGCUUGAGUACCGGAGAGGAUGGCGGAAUUCCCCAAGUAGAGGUGAAAUUCGUAGAUAUGGGGAGGAACACCGGUGGCGAAGGCGGCCAUCUGGACGGAUACUGACGCUGAGACGCGAAAGCGUGGGUAGCAAACAGG